GCGCCAGCCAAGCCAAGCGCGCCCUCCCCCUCCCCGCCUUGGGCCCCAGGCGCCGGCGCGGGAGAAGCCCCGGGUAAGCCCCCGCCCGUCUCGUGGCCUCCUGCAUCGCAGAGUGAGACGAUCCGCGACGCCCCUCCAGCAAUACCCCAGGCCAGAAACAUCUCGCGCAGCCAGGUUCUCCCGGGCUCUGGAGGUUGAAGCAUUUGCUCCCUCGGCCCCAUAAACAGAUGCCACAAAGCCAUGGACCAUGCCACCCUGCUCCGGGUGACCUGAAUAUGUGGCCUGGCUCUGCCACCAGCUUCUGAGAAGCGUCCUCAGUCUCCCCAUCUGUGAGAUGGCCGGCAGGGACGAGCCUCUCCAGCAGGCCUUUCCGCCGGGAGAUUCUGCAAUUUCUGUCAUUUCCUGCCUCAGCCCUGACAGCAGCUCAGGGCCUCCUCUCUCAAACACAUUUCCCCAGACUCCUAGACCCUCCCUGCUUCUCCGGCCCCCCACUGCCUCUGGCUCCCCAGGCUCCCCGAUAAGGGGCCCAACUAAUUACAUUAGGAUUUCAUGCCAAUUAACAAACAAUUACACGGGCAAAUUGGUGCCUAAUUUGGAGCAAUAACAACAGCUCCAUUGGCCGAGGACAGAUAGCUGCAGACAAGACUGUUCACCCAGCCUGGCCCUAUCACAGACCCUGGAGUGUAGGAGCCAGCUUUUGACCCAGCCCUGGGCCCACAGCUGCAGUUCUUUUAGGAUCUGUAAGCAACCAUUUAUGUUGAUUACACAGUAGAAGAAAAACCCCAGAGGGUGGAAGUGGAGCAGAGGGAGCCAGGCUGGCUUCCUGGAGGAGGCAGGAGGACUCAGGGAGGCAGGGAGAGAAAGGAAGAUGGCGCCUGAGGGGUAGUAAUGCAUGGGAACAAAGGCUUGAGUGUGGCCAUGAGUCACAUGAGCUGAAAGCUGGUGGAGAAACCAGCAGGGCGAGGGCACAGGAUGGUAGGCGGUGCUGAGACUACAGAUGUUUGGAGGGACAGGUUGGGAAUGUCAUUCCCGGGAAUUUAACACUCUCCUGGAGGCCUUCGGAGCCACUGAAGGUUUGUAGAAAGAGGAGAGCACAGGGCUCAGACUCGUCUUAGAUUCCUGAUCUUGGAUUCCUCACAACCGCCAGUCCACCUUUAGUUUGCCACGAGGUCUCAUCUGCUCUCCCCUCUGAACGCAGCAGCUGUCAGUCCUGUCCCCAAACCAUUUCUUGUCCAUAAUUUUCCCAAGUGAUCACCCUAAGGCACAAAUGCACCCUUAUUCCUCCUCUGCUUAAAUCUUCUAUGGCUCCCCAGUGCCAUCAGAAUAGAGCUCCAGCUCCCAUCUCAGCAUCCCUGCCCUGUACCAUCUGGUGCCUGGGGACCUCCGAGCUUCCCCUCUCUCCCCACCUCCACCCCAGCCCUGUGCUCGGGGGACUGGACACCAUCUACAGGAUGUGCCAGGUUCCUUCACACCUCCAGGCCUGUGACUGUGCGGUUCCCUCGGCCCAGAUUCCUCUCCCAACACCCGUGCUUGUCACCAAGUGCAUCCUUCCAGGCCCCAGCCUGUAGACUCCGUUCUCUGGGGCGCUGGUUCCCACAGCAGAGCUUGUGCCUCCACCACUGUCUUCCGCAACCCCCACCCCAGACUCGGAGCUGCUCAGGGGCUGGGGUACUCCGCAUCUCCUUCACCCAGCACUGAAAGUGAAUGAACAGAGAAGACAAAAGGAUGAGAUAAACAGUGGGGGAAACUGAGGCAAGGACCCAGAGAAAGAUUCAUAAUCUGACAGCUUCAGUGUUGAUGAGAACUGAAAUCUGAACCACUCUGACUCUGUUGAUGGAAGGGUAAAUUAGAACCACUUUUCUGGAAAACCAUUGGGCGGUGCUGUCAAGAGCUUUAAAAACAUACAGACCCUCUGGUCCCAUUAAUCUACUUUUAGGAACUCAAUCCAAGAAAUAACCAAAGAUGCUAAAAAAGACCCAUGUACAAGGACGCUUAUUGCUGUUAUUUAUAACUGUGAAAAAUCACAAGCAACAUAAAUGUCUAGCAAUAGAGGGCUGGUUAAAUAAAUUAUAAUACAUCCAUAUAUAAGAAUGUUAUGCAAACAUUAAAAGUCAUGUUCUUGAGGAAUUUUUAAUAACCUGGGGAAAUACUCACUGUUUUAUAAGUAAAGCACAAUAGGAAACAAAACUGUCUAUCUAGGAUGAUCUUGGUUGUACAACGAAAACAAUGAAUCAAUUCAUGUAAAGGAAGUCUGGGAGGAAAUAAACAGUUA
Long non-coding RNA from Chinchilla lanigera (long-tailed chinchilla), 2272 nucleotides. RefSeq lists it as uncharacterized. The record is from RefSeq and is a predicted model, not a curated record. The transcript has 3 exons. Lineage: Eukaryota; Metazoa; Chordata; Mammalia; Rodentia; Chinchillidae.